This 1338-nucleotide small RNA is filed under the name uncultured bacterium. Its description in RNAcentral is "bacterial SSU rRNA". The stretch from base 1 to 489 matches the Rfam family "Bacterial small subunit ribosomal RNA", at positions 1045 to 1533 of the family's 1533-position model. The record is from RNAcentral.
AUGGCUGUCGUCAGCUCGUGUUGUGAAAUGUUGGGUUAAGUCCCGCAACGAGCGCAACCCUUAUCCUUAUUUGCCAGCACGUAAUGGUGGGAACUUUAGGGAGACUGCCGGUGAUAAACCGGAGGAAGGUGGGGACGACGUCAAGUCAUCAUGGCCCUUACGAGUAGGGCUACACACGUGCUACAAUGGCGAGUACAGAGGGUUGCGAAGCCGCGAGGUGGAGCUAAUCCCAGAAAGCUCGUCGUAGUCCGGAUUGGAGUCUGCAACUCGACUCCAUGAAGUCGGAAUCGCUAGUAAUCGUGGAUCAGAAUGCCACGGUGAAUACGUUCCCGGGCCUUGUACACACCGCCCGUCACACCAUGGGAGUGGGCUGCACCAGAAGUAGAUAGCUUAACCUUCGGGAGGGCGUUUACCACGGUGUGGUUCAUGACUGGGGUGAAGUCGUAACAAGGUAGCCCUAGGGGAACCUGGGGCUGGAUCACCUCCUUACCUUAACGACUAACUUGAUGUUUGUUGAGUGUUCACACAGAUAUGCUUGUCGAGAAGAAAGAAUAAAAAUAUAUGGGUCUGUAGCUCAGCUGGUUAGAGCGCACCCCUGAUAAGGGUGAGGUCGGUGGUUCAAGUCCACUCUGACCCACCAAAAUCCUUCCCUAACUUUGUUGGAAAGCGAUUCGUUUAUGAAAAACUAAACGUCAUCACUUCCCGUCUCGUUAUGAAAUGAUUUGGUACCAACUUAGUAAUAAGUGAAAUAUAUUUUUAUUUGACUGCAUGUAAAUGGGGCUAUAGCUCAGCUGGGAGAGCGCCUGCCUUGCACGCAGGAGGUCUGCGGUUCGAUCCCGCAUAGCUCCACCAUUUACUUGCUUAAGGAAAGAGACGCCAAAGAUAAAUAGAACAAUUUAUCUUUGGCUUUUUUUAGCCUGCUCUUUAACAAUUUGGAAAGCUGAUAGUGUUAAUGUGAAAGGGACAUUGUUUUUAAAUAAAUUCGUUUAUUGAUAAAGUGAUGUUUAUAGCAUUAGCGCGAAAUAAAAAAUUGAGUUCUAAACACUUAAGCAUUAAGUGUCUUGGCUUGUGACUUAACAUGUAUCUGUUGGGAAGUGAGUUAAAAAUUCUAAUUUUGGCGAAAGUAGAAACCAUUAGUUGCGAUAUAACAGUUAACACUACCUGUGUUGAUGUUAAGGCUCUUUUUGAGACUUAUUAGUGUUGUAUGGUUAAGUGACUAAGCGUAUAUGGUGGAUGCCUUGGCAGUCAGAGGCGAUGAAGGACGUAGUAACUUGCGAAAAGCGUUGGCGAGCUAGUAACAAGCAUUUGAGCUAACGAUGUCCGAAUGGGGAAACCCGG